This 305-nucleotide ribosomal RNA is filed under the name uncultured bacterium. RNAcentral's name for it is "bacterial SSU rRNA". It matches the Rfam family "Bacterial small subunit ribosomal RNA", at positions 334 to 631 of the family's 1533-position model. The record is from RNAcentral.
UUUGCCUACGGGGCGCAGCAGUAGGGAAUUUUCGUCAAUGGGCGCAAGCCUGAACGAGCAAUGCCGCGUGAACGAGGAAGGUCUUCGGAUCGUAAAGUUCUGUUGAAGGGGAAAAAGAGCGGAGAGAGGAAAUGGUCUCCGAUUGAUAUUACCCUUCGAGGAAGUCACGGCUAACUACGUGCCAGCAGCCGCGGUAAUACGUAGGAUCCGAGCGUUAUCCGGAUUUAUUGGGUUUAAAGGGAGCGUAGGUGGACAGUUAAGUCAGUUGUGAAAGUUUGCGGCUCAACCGUAAAAUUGCAGUUGAU